RNAcentral lists this ribosomal RNA (422 nucleotides) under uncultured bacterium. Its description in RNAcentral is "bacterial SSU rRNA". It matches the Rfam family "Bacterial small subunit ribosomal RNA", at positions 501 to 918 of the family's 1533-position model. The record is from RNAcentral.
CUACGUGCCAGCAGCCGCGGUAAUACGUAGGGUGCAAGCGUUGUCCGGAAUUAUUGGGGCGUAAAGAGCUCGUAGGCGGUUUGUCGCGUCUGCUGUGAAAACCUGGGGCUUAACUCCGGGCCUGCAGUGGGUACGGGCAGACUAGAGUGCGGUAAGGGGAGACUGGAAUUCCUGGUGUAGCGGUGAAAUGCGCAGAUAUCAGGAGGAACACCGAUGGCGAAGGCAGGUCUCUGGGCCGUAACUGACGCUGAGGAGCGAAAGCGUGGGGAGCGAACAGGAUUAGAUACCCUGGUAGUCCACGCUGUAAACGUUGGGCGCUAGGUGUGGGGCUCAUUCCACGAGUUCCGCGCCGCAGCUAACGCAUUAAGCGCCCCGCCUGGGGAUUACGGCCGCAAGGCUAAAACUCAAAGGAAUUGACGGGG